CCUAAAGAAUAUCUUAUGUAUAAUCCCCCUCAAAUAACCCAGAUCAAACAAUAACCUUUCUCAGAAAAAGCUUUAGAAAGAUGCCAGAGUUUCCGACUUGGAUGACUCUUUCAAAACAAUUUUUCCCAGUCGGAGCUCGUUUUUGUUUGAGUUUCCAGUUGUCUUGAUCGCACUGAAGUCGGAAACCAGAGAUUUUCGUUUUUACAGUUGUGAACGUGGCAGCACUCUACACUGCUGGACAACUACGGAUUGACUACAGCUCAGAUGAAUGAAGUCAACUCAGGAUCCUAGUAAAGUGCAGUGGUGUAUGGGUCCCCCUGACUCCCACCCCCUGACCCCCACCCACUGAACCGCACCUCAGGCUAGAGCCGCGAUAACAAGGGGUCAGUGAUAGGAGGCGGGACAUUCCUAAUCUGCAAAGGGGCCAUGAGGAAUAUAAGAAGUCCGGUCAGCCCAGCCUGGCCCUCAGAGCCAACCUAGCAUAGAGACCCACACAUCUGCUAGAGAGAGCUGCGCUCAGCGCCCACUCUUCUGGCUAGCCUUCACCCAAGCAGCAGUUGAUGAGAUUUCAUCAAGACGACUUUACUUCAGAGAGGGAUUGAACACAUAACCAGCUGCACACACCAAUCAGCUAACUAAUAAC
Molecule: long non-coding RNA, 643 nt
Filed under: Salmo salar (Atlantic salmon)
Lineage: Eukaryota; Metazoa; Chordata; Actinopteri; Salmoniformes; Salmonidae
Description: lncRNA (ENSSSAG00000114329.1)
Source: RNAcentral